ACAUUUCUCAGUACGCCCAAGUUGAACAGCAUUUUAUGGAUCAGAAUUUUAGCAUUUAGCAUAAAGCUACAAAUCAGCAGAGUUGGAGCUGGGGAAGGAGAAGCCAUUUAACGUGGAGCCGUGGAGCAGAUGUUGAGCACUCCACUUGCAGGCUCACAAAGCCAGGACAUCUGUUAGAAAUAUGUGAGCAGAGGCACCAUCAAACCUCUUAGAUGCUGCAGUGAUCCUCUGCCCUUCCUACGUCCUCUUCCAAAUUACACUGAGGUGUAAGGGAAUAGUCCCAUCCCUCACCACCUCCACCAUUCCCAGUCCACGUUUUUCUGCUUCCAGGCUGGUGCUUCCACACAGUUGAUUCAGGAUCAUUGACCCAAGCAGGUUCUUUUUUUGUUUCAGGGUUUUCAGGACAAAAAGGAAGGGGGGGUGUGAGCUUUUUGUUGGCCUCUUCACAGAGCAGCAGAGAUUUCUCUUGGCAUCAGUUUCCCUCUCAGGAUCCCACUACAGGCUGGUGUGGCAGGGGAGUUUAAUGCAGAACAACCAGAAACAACACAUGGUGAAGCACUGACCCAUAGUGCAAUUAGCAGCCUUCCCCAGAAGCAUUUUUCAAUACCCCAGGGCACUCAGAAUUUGCUGACUGUUUGAUUUGUGCUGCCCCAAAUUCCUGACAUUGCUUAAGCAAACCACAGGACCAGGAAAUAAGUGAUCCUGUCUUCCGAUCCUUUUUUUAUAAGGCUACUGCCUUUGUUUUCUCAGAGAAAAUAAAAUCAAUUUCUUUCCCACCUCUGUCUUCCUGAUCAGAGGAACACCAGUUUAAAUCUCAGCUCCCAAGGGAGAGGGAUUUGUUAAUUUGACAAUACUAUAUUCAAACACUAAGAGUUCAACAAACACUUGCUCCAAGAUGAGCAUACGGAUUUUGUUUGAUUUACAAUGAUUCAAUUAGCAGCCGUCUAAGGAAUUCUGAAAUUUUUCUGGGUAUGAAAACACUGGCUUACAGAGGUUUGUUGUUCUUAAUCCAGAUGUGACCCUGGCAAGCGGAGAUGUGCAAAAAAAAAAACUCCCCCACACCUAGUCCAGCCAAGGUGAAGGGCACUGCUCACCCUGCACUGGGCUGGACGACAGCCUGCAUCCAUCACCUGAGAGAAGAUAAAUGCUGCUGUCACCCCAGCUCCUGAGCUCCAUCCAUCACUGCUCAACCAGCUGAGUCCCAGCAUGAUUUGCCAUUUGCCUCACUAAGCUGCAGCUCCUGUCCAAAGAGCACACAGGCACCAUGCCCUGUGCAGGCAUUUAGUGAGCACAGCCAGGGCUUGACUCAGUCACUGCAGAGCAACUUUGCAGAUUAAAGCAGAAUUCAGUGUAUGAGAGCAGGUCCUAUGCUUUGCAUGCACAACUGUGGGGUGCAAAGAAAGAUUUGGUACCAGCCUCAGCCUGUCGCCAUUGAGGCAGGAUGGGAACAAAGAGACUCCAGUUCAGAAGACGAGAAGAGAACUAAACUCAACUGAUUUAUUUCAAAUACACCACUCUUUUUAUAGAGAACAUAGUGCAGACCAAUUUCAUUGAUCUUAAAGUAAAAACAUCUCACACCAUUGGUGCGCAGUGAAUGGCACGCGGUGGCAGAACAUAUCUAUAAACAAUGCGAA
This is a long non-coding RNA of Vidua chalybeata, 1634 nucleotides long. RefSeq lists it as uncharacterized. NCBI's taxonomy places the organism in Eukaryota, Metazoa, Chordata, Aves, Passeriformes, Viduidae. The record is from RefSeq and is a predicted model, not a curated record. The transcript is spliced from 3 exons.